UUUAUUUUUUCUUUUCUUUCUUUCUUUGUUUCUCUUUUACUUUCCUUCUCUUUCUUUUUGUCUUUCUUUCAAAAUAGUAAUUUAUCGAGCUUUAUUACGACUUUAGAGUAGACUUUAGAUUAAAAAAAACACUUUUACUUCUAAUUUAUCUUUUGAAUUUCGAUCAUGAAAUCCUAAAUUAUCAUUACUGUAGCAAUUCUCCUGCAAAACGUCCGCACUGUACGGGCAAACAUUUAAAGAAACCAACAGAAUUAAAUAUGAUCCAAUAAGUAGACUUUACCUCUAAAUAUGACAUUAAUUUUCUUGUAAAUAUGUAAAUGUUCUUUUCAUCCCUCUAGCACAUAUUUUUUCUUUUCUUUAUUUGUUAUUAAAAUUGUUCCUACGCUGGAUCUUCUAAAGCUCUUUCUGUACUUAACAUAAAAUAAGCAUAUUUGGUCUAACAAUAAACUAAAAUAAAUAACCAAUUGCAAGAUUAAAACUCCUAUCAUAAAAAUAAACGAUAAAGAGGGUAAAUUUGAUUCAAUUUGAAAUCAAAUCAAAUUUGAGGUACGUAUUGAAAAAUGUGUUUCAGUACCAAAAUUGCACAAGUUUUAAACUAAAAGGCUCACUAAAAUCAAAUUACUUCCAAAUGACUUCAAAUUUGUUUGCCAUGUAUGUUUCUUAUGGGAGAUUUGAAAGAAGAAGCAGUUUGAAUGGAGACAUUUUAUGACGCACAAUGUUUUGGACUGAGCGAUCAAACUCCCUGCAGCCUUGGUCAGUCCUCUGAACUUUACCACUAUAUGUAAACAAGUUGUCAGAGAAUAAUCUUCUCUGUUCCCCCUUUCUCCCUCUUUUUUUAUUGGAAUGAAAAUUCAAUCUUCCAAGAUCAGAUUAGACUACUUUUUUUUUUUUUUUUUUCCCUACUUCUUCUCUCCUCUCUCCCGGUUCCUUGUCAUCGCUGGGGAUGGACUUUGGUGGACAAUAAUGCGGCAAUUGUCGAUGCUUUGUGACCCAUAAAAUUUGAGGGUGGCUAUUCUGGCUUUACGAGGGGAGGCACCGUGCAAGCAAAAGCCCCUGCAACUCUGAGCAGAUCGGCGGAAAAAAAAGCAGCUAUAAUCAAAAAGAAAAGUGCACGAAUAAGAACAGGUGCCAUUAUGCAGGUAAUUUUGUUAUGAUGUAUGAUGGAGUGUAUUUAAAUCUAACCGCUGUUUGCCCAGCCCAUGCAUUAAGACAUAUUUGCAGAAUAAUUUUAGAUGUUGUCCCUUCAAUAAACAAUAUUUUGUGUAAGGCUUCAGAGUUUUUUUUUUUUAAUGUAAUAAGAAUUUUGAUUUGGCUUAAUUGUUUUAAGGUAAAAGAAAGGCUGUUUCUGAAAAUUCGAAAGAAAAUUGACCUCAUUCGGAUUUUCGUGUAAUCAGACAAUUUGUUAAUGUAUGAACGCGUAUUUCACUAAAACGUUGUUUAAUUCCCUAAACAUGCAAAAAAAUAAAAAUGAAUAAAUCUCCAUAUGUGUCCUAUUUGCUGUUGUUUAGUAAAAUUUUUCGUGAUGAUUAAUAAAAUGCAAUACAUAUCUUGCUUUUGAGGUGUGCAAUGCAUUGGAUUUUUUUUUUACCUUUCUGUGUGUGUAUGGGUGUGUGUGUGUGUGUGUGUGCAUGCACAUAAUAAACACUUGUGCUGUCUGACAGAGGUGCGAAUCUGAGAGCUUUUCCACCAAAUGAAGUGCCAGCAGAAAGAGAAAUAAAGAGAUCUGCAGCUGUCAGGGGUCAGGCAGGGAGAGAUUGCUUCUAGAGAUCUUUUGAAAAAAAUCACACGUUUGAAGGCUUAGAGCUUUGCUGUCUCCGCAUUUCAAGCUCAGAUCAGUGGAAUCAGGGGAGGAAAAAAAAAAAAGGAAGAACAUGGGUUGGAGAAUUCUGAUGCUGGGAUGGACACGGGAACAGUGCUGUUUGGAGGUCUGUUUUAUGUACCUGAUCCUUUAGAGAGGGGAAGAAAGACAAGCCGAGUAUUUUGUUCUGUGUGUUGGAACAACCGUGUCUCUAAUGUCCGGGUGUGUAAAAAAGAAUUGUGUGUGCAGAAAUCUGCUCUGCUGCCGCCUCAAAUUUGAAGCGAGUCUCGACAGAAGAUCGAAGAGAAGCAACUUUGGACCCUUAAGUGUUUCGCAAUUUCUGUUUUUGCGUUAUGUAAUAAUAAUAAUAAUAAUAAUAAUAAUAAUAAUAAUAAUAAUAAUAUAUAGUUUUUUUCUUUUGCCAUUCUGAAUUUGAUCUCUGUUAAGUAAUGGAAAUGUAAAUAAAUAACUUCAGAAUUAGUUGAAAUGCGGAACUCUGAAUCCAACUUUAUUUUCUUGAGAUGAGGAGCGACUUCUGGUCCUUUUGUGGCUCGUGAUCGAAACAGAACCGCAGUUUGGUCGAUAAUAUAGAGGGGACACACUUGGUGACGUUUUGACAAAUCGAUCGAACAUUUAAUCGUGUAUUUCAACAUUCAAGACAAUUUAAUUAGCCGGUAUGAUCAUAAAUCUUAAGGAAAUAUUGGUAAGUAUCGGGUGUCAUA
This is a long non-coding RNA of Poecilia latipinna (sailfin molly), 2520 nucleotides long. RefSeq lists it as uncharacterized. The record is from RefSeq and is a predicted model, not a curated record. The transcript is spliced from 2 exons. NCBI's taxonomy places the organism in Eukaryota, Metazoa, Chordata, Actinopteri, Cyprinodontiformes, Poeciliidae.